AAAACGCAAACCCAGAUACAUGUGUAACAGCGGUAUCAAUAAAUUCAUGAAUGUAUAAAUAUUAAUUACAUAUAAAAACAUUUCAACACUUGUUAACAUUUUUGAUAAACACAGAAAAUUGCAUACACAGAUGUACAUUAUAUAUUGAAAGCAGUCCUUUUACUUUUAUUAGGAUUCACUGUAACGUAGGUAGGUAAACAAUAAAAUUUUAAGGAUGUUCGCUUGCCAUGUUUUGGAAUUUUUAUCAGAUUUUCAGAAUCCUCUGGUUUCAUCCAUUUGAAUACCUUAACAAAUUUGCCCAUUGACCUCAUUUUUCUUUUCAUACAUCUGUUACAUGUUUCAUGAUAAGCCAUCUGUAAAAGUCUUAUAAAAAUCUAAUUCUUUUUUAAUUGUUUUUGAGAACUUAAACUUUUCAAUGAAAAAGAUAAGAAAAGUCAAGAGAGAACAUUUUCCCGCCAAAAUUCCAAUGGCUAAUAUCUCGAAAACAAGCACAUUGAUCUAUAUAUAUUUUUUCUCUUUUGAUUCCUUUAUUUAUCCCCUAUCAAUAUAAAGUGUUUUGAAAAGCUUAUUAUUUAAAAAAUGAGAAGCGAACUCCUCUUUUUCGGAAAAUAUUAUCUUCUUCUAAUUUCG
This 630-nucleotide long non-coding RNA is filed under the name Mytilus galloprovincialis (Mediterranean mussel). Lineage: Eukaryota; Metazoa; Mollusca; Bivalvia; Mytilida; Mytilidae. The record is from RNAcentral.